This 2996-nucleotide long non-coding RNA is filed under the name Gallus gallus (chicken). The record is from RNAcentral. Lineage: Eukaryota; Metazoa; Chordata; Aves; Galliformes; Phasianidae.
CUUCGCAUUAUUUUUGAUCACUCUGAAUUUUUUAACUUUUGGGGGGUGAGUCUAUUUCUAUCAGACAGAUACUGCUCUGUUGUACCAGCAGUUCUGAAUAAGUGAGCACUACGGAAGUGGUGGAGCUGUUUCUGACUUCUCUUUUUGUUAAGUACUGGAUGGAACUUUGUUUCACACCUUUCAAAAACACAAGCACAGUACAGGAAGGUGCAGGGCUAAGUUGAAGAUGAAGUUAUGGAGGUCCCACUGCUAACAGGCUCAUAGAACUCUAACAAGACGUUUUCCAGCAAAGAUUUUGAAGUGUCUUCUGAAAGUAUGCAGUAUUUCAAACUCAAGUACCAUAAACUGCAUCCUCCCUCUUCCAGAGGUAUUUCUCACAUGUAACUGUUGUUUUCUUCUACUUUUGGCUCAAUUUUCAAGAUUUUGUGGAGGCAGAAAACCCAAUUAGCUAAAAUUGGAAUUUUUUUUCCUUGGUAAAGACUUCAGGCUUGACCCCUAAAUCAGUAACAACCAUCAUCAUCCAGAAAAUCAGACUGUUUAGGCAGAAUCUGGUGCAGCUUCCUUUGAUUCUUGUUCUCAUGCUAGUGGAAUAUUCAACCAUUUAGCCAAAAAUCCUGCUGUUGAAGAGGGAUGGCUCAGGAAAGGGAACCUGCUGCAGCCCCUCCCUGCCCUGCUCAGCUCCUCCUGUGCUUGGGGGGGAGCAGGGACAGCAGUUAUUCCUCCCACAGGUAUCUCAAGAGCAGAACAGAAGACCAACAGCUACAGCUGUCACAGUCUCAUCUCUGUCAGAGGUUUCAAUGUCAUCUCAGUUUAAGGAAGACUCGUCACAAACCCAAGUCCUUGAAGGUCACUGUGAGCAAGUUCUUCUACUGCACUGCUGACUUGGGGACAGUGUGUGUGUGUAUGUGUACACCCUCAUGCGUGCAUGGGGUGAUCAGCACAGCUCCAGCCUGGCUCAUGGGACUGGCAGCAGCGAAGUGAGCAGCACCACAGCCUCUGCUCCAGCCCCUUCCCCGUGCUUCCCUGCUCACCAGCACCAGCCCCAGCUGAUGGAGGAGCCUCAGCGAGGUAUGUAACAGCAGAGCAUGGAGAGCAGGCAGAGCCCUGGCCCUAUGUGAGCAGCAUCCCCUAACUAAAGGCAUGUCACUGCUGCAGACUGCACGCAGCAAAAAAAGAAAAAGCAUCUAAAAAUGAUCUAGGAUUAUAAAUAGGCCAUCUAUUUCUCACAGAACUUGAGAACUGGAAGGAGAGGGGGGGAGAGCACUCUCUGAAAACCGCGUUUCCUCAUCACCUGAAGUCUCAUAACCAAUGUGAAAUUCCAGUGUCCUAAGGCACAAUUACUUCUAUUAAUGAAGACGGAAACAUUCCCAUCCCCGCUGCCCCAGGAACAGAUGUGUUUACUACUAAGACAGAAUAAAAGCAGCAUUUGUUUCUUUUGAUGUGGACAAACAAUAGAGAAAAAAACCAGAGGAGAUGGGCACUGCUCACUGUCAGGCUGCACUGAUGCAGGCAUGCGUUUGAUGUAACGCUGCUGAAGCAUCUCUCUGAUGCAUAUGCAACUGCUGGCUCACGUUUUCAUGGUUAAGAGCCAAAUUCACCAUAGAGGCUAAGAAGGAAGACAGACCAAAAAUUUGGGCUUUUGUGGAAGUAGGAAAACAGGCCGAAGCAGAUAACAGCCUCUUUUCCAGAUGAAGAUAAACCAUGGCCACGGUUUUCACGCACUCUAGAAAAGCAAGGAGUCAGAUGUCCGAAAACAGAAGAAUAGGAACUGCUUUAAUUCAGCCUUCCUUAGAAAGGAGCCCUCCCAUUGAAUCAUCGGGCAACAGACAGUUGCAAUGAGCCCAAAGCGAGCGAGCAGUGGCUGGGCAGAGGGGCUAUGGUGAAGGAACACCACAGAACACCUCUCUUGGUUGUAGCCCUCAUCUGUAAUUUGUCCUCUUCUUUUUUCCUGUAACGCUCAGAGACCUUAAACUCAAUAUAAUCUGUUUAUAAAACCUUAAAGGGGAUAUUUUAGAAGGAACUAAAAGCAUGUUUGUUUUGUCCACAGAUGAAACACUGGUGUAGUUGAAGACUGAAUCUGUAGUGGAGUGUUAGUCAAUUGUAAACUGUAGGAGAUGUGUGCAUUUUACACAAACUCAAUACAGAGGAGAAGGACGAGUCUGCAUCACUCCAACUCUGAUAACGUGCACGGCCUUCGGAAUUCCUGUCCCCGCUCGUGGAGCCAUUUAUUGGACACUGCAAUGACAUGAAGGCCAAACGCUUGCUCCUACUUCAGGAAAGACGGUAGCUCCCCCUGCUGACACGUCGCUCAUCUGAAAGGUGGGAAAAGGCACAGGUAAGCUGCGAGCCACUGCAUUCCUCAGAUGUCACAUUUUAGUAAAACAAAUUAUUCAGCAACUUGUUUUCUGCCUCCCACUUACUGAGCAAAGGCUGCAUGAUUAAAAACAUUAAACAGGGCUAAAACCCACCCGUUUGGUUCGAAGUGCAAUAGCCCUGAGUGAUAAGUGCUGAAAUGUCAUGGCAAUGAGCGUGCUGUAAAUUCUGAUGCAGAUGUAAAAAUGAAUAGGCAGUCAAGUAUCUUAAGUUGCUACUGAACUCUGAGGGAAAAGAACCUCCUUAAGCACAGGUAAGAGCCAUAACUUACAGGUAAGUUACCCGUAUUUGUUACUAUAAUGUGAUGGCUGCCUUCAUCUGCAAAUCACUUCAGUUUAAACAAAAGUAAUGAAAUAAUUCAGCUGCACAGGAUGUCCAGUGACAAGACACUAUUGGCAAUAGCACAUGGCAGAAACGUAUCACUUACAUAAAACAACCAAGUAGCAAUUCUGUUGCCUGUUCCCAAUUCUUUAAAAGCAUCUGGCUCGUCUUUCUGUGAAUAAAAGCAAGCAGGUUUAAUAAGCAUUUCAUUUUGAUUAUUAAGAGGAACCAGUGACAGACAGCUGCAGAGCCAGCAGUGGACAAACUCAUGCAGAAAAAUUAAUUCAUUCGCUCUAGUCAGG